RNAcentral lists this ribosomal RNA (440 nucleotides) under uncultured bacterium. Its description in RNAcentral is "partial 16S ribosomal RNA". It matches the Rfam family "Bacterial small subunit ribosomal RNA", at positions 338 to 795 of the family's 1533-position model. The record is from RNAcentral.
CCUACGGGUGGCAGCAGUAGGGAAUAUUGCUCAAUGGGGGAAACCCUGAAGCAGCAACGCCGCGUGGAGGAUGAAGGUUUUCGGAUUGUAAACUCCUUUUGUUAGAGAAGAUAAUGACGGUAUCUAAUGAAUAAGCACCGGCUAACUCCGUGCCAGCAGCCGCGGUAAUACGGAGGGUGCAAGCGUUACUCGGAAUCACUGGGCGUAAAGAGUGCGGAGGGGGGAUAGCAAGUCAGAGGUGAAAUCCUAUGGCUUAACCAUAGAACUGCAUUUGAAACUGUGAUGCUAGAGUAUGGGAGAGGUAAGUGGAAUUCUUGGUGUAGGGGUAAAAUCCGUAGAGAUCAAGAGGAAUACUCAUUGCGAAGGCGACCUACUGGAACAUAACUGACGCUGAUGCGCGAAAGCGUGGGGAGCAAACAGGAUUAGAUACCCGAGUAGUC